UAAUAGAUAGCAAAAAUGCCAUUAGUUUCGACCUAAUUAUUGAUAGAUAAAUUCUGUCUCUAUUAA
This 66-nucleotide transfer RNA is filed under the name Megalophasma granulatum. RNAcentral describes it as "tRNA-Arg". The record is from RNAcentral. Lineage: Eukaryota; Metazoa; Arthropoda; Insecta; Phasmatodea; Lonchodidae.